AACAUCGCGCACCUGCGGGAACCUGCGGAAGGAUCAUUAAUGAUUGGUGGCUGUUGCUGACUAGUGUUUCUAGUAUGUGCACGCCACACCUUCAAUCCCACUUACACCUGUGCACCUUCUGCAAUAGAUCUAUGUGGAUACGGAGAUAUGAAAGUUUGCGCUCUCGUACUCUGUUGAAGCAGUCUACUACGUUUUUUUACACACACACAAUAGUCAUUGAAUGUAUUUUUUAUUCUUAUG
RNAcentral lists this unclassified non-coding RNA (240 nucleotides) under soil metagenome. Its description in RNAcentral is "partial contains 5.8S ribosomal RNA, internal transcribed spacer 2, and large subunit ribosomal RNA". The record is from RNAcentral.